RNAcentral lists this microRNA (21 nucleotides) under Gadus morhua (Atlantic cod). RNAcentral's name for it is "gmo-miR-11267-5p". Lineage: Eukaryota; Metazoa; Chordata; Actinopteri; Gadiformes; Gadidae. The record is from miRBase by way of RNAcentral.
GACCGGAUGAAUCGGGGAGUU